GGAGAUAUCGCAACCAGCUCUUGACCCAAAUUCAACAGAGAUACAUCAUAGAAUUACAAUUAGAGCUAGAAACAAGCAAGUUCACAGGUGAUAUAUCAUCAGAGACUAUACGUAUGCACUUAAUCAUCAAUCAUUAUCGUACUAACAAUGAAUGUUUUCAUUGGUGCAGAGGAGUUUAUGAACGUAGGGGAAGUACACGGUGUUCAGAUGCAAGUGAAAGGCC
This 223-nucleotide long non-coding RNA is filed under the name Cicer arietinum (chickpea). RNAcentral describes it as "long non-coding RNA (CARI_LNC003539)". The record is from RNAcentral. Lineage: Eukaryota; Viridiplantae; Streptophyta; Magnoliopsida; Fabales; Fabaceae.